Molecule: ribosomal RNA, 193 nt
Filed under: uncultured bacterium
Lineage: Bacteria
Description: partial 16S ribosomal RNA
Rfam family: Bacterial small subunit ribosomal RNA
Source: RNAcentral
CCUACGGGAGGCAGCAGUGGGGAAUAUUGGACAAUGGGCGCAAGCCUGAUCCAGCCAUGCCGCGUGGGUGAAGAAGGCCUUCGGGUUGUAAAGCCCUUUUGUCCGGAAAGAAAAGCACGGGAUUAAUACCCUCGUGUGAUGACGGUACCGGAAGAAUAAGCACCGGCUAACUUCGUGCCAGCAGCCGCGGUAA